AAAAUCUUAAGUUAUGGAGACUAUAGUAUUUCAAGUACUAAAGAGGGCGAGCCCAGAUUUUG
RNAcentral lists this transfer RNA (62 nucleotides) under Villorita cyprinoides. Its description in RNAcentral is "tRNA-Trp". Lineage: Eukaryota; Metazoa; Mollusca; Bivalvia; Venerida; Cyrenidae. The record is from RNAcentral.